CCUACGGGCGGCAGCAGUGAGGAAUAUUGGUCAAUGGACGAGAGUCUGAACCAGCCAAGUAGCGUGAAGGAUGACUGCCCUAUGGGUUGUACACUUCUUUUGUAAAGGAAUAAAACGCCCCACGUGUGAGUUUUUGCAUGUACUUUAUGAAUAAGGAUCGGCUAAUUCCGUGCCAGCAGCCGCGGUAAUACGGAGGAUCCGAGCGUUAUCCGGAUUUAUUGGGUUUAAAGGGAGCGUAGACGGGUUGUUAAGUCAGUUGUGAAAGUUUGCGGCUCAACCUUAACAUUGCAAUUGAAACUGGGGGUCUUGAGUACAGUUAGGGUAGGCGGAAUUCGUGGUGUAGCGGUGAAAUGCUUAGAUAUCACGAAGAACCCCGAUUGCGAAGGCAGCUUACUAAAGUGUGACUGACAUUGAUGCUCGAAAGUGUGGGUAUCAAACAGGAUUAGAUACCCGAGUAGUC
This 460-nucleotide ribosomal RNA is filed under the name uncultured bacterium. RNAcentral describes it as "partial 16S ribosomal RNA". It matches the Rfam family "Bacterial small subunit ribosomal RNA", at positions 338 to 795 of the family's 1533-position model. The record is from RNAcentral.